AGCAAUACUUCCGCCGGCGACCGGCGCACGGGUGAGUAACACGUAUGGAACCUGCCCGUAGCAGGGGGAUAAACGGAAGAAAUUCCGUCUAAUACCGCGUAAUAACUCCGAGAGGCAUCUCAUGAGUUUAAAGGGUAACACCGGCUACGGAUGGCCAUGCGGCGCAUUAGCUAGUUGGCGGGGUAACGGCCCACCAAGGCGACGAUGCGUAGGGGUUCUGAGAGGAAGGUCCCCCACACUGGUACUGAGACACGGACCAGACUCCUACGGGAGGCAGCAGUGAGGAAUAUUGGUCAAUGGGCGCGAGCCUGAACCAGCCAAGUCGCGUGAGGGAAGACGGUCCUAUGGAUUGUAAACCUCUUUUGUCGGGGAGCAAAAGACGCCACGUGUGGCGUUCCGAGAGUACCCGAAGAAAAAGCAUCGGCUAACUCCGUGCCAGCAGCCGCGGUAAUACGGAGGAUGCGAGCGUUAUCCGGAUUUAUUGGGUUUAAAGGGUGCGCAGGCGGAAGAUCAAGUCAGCGGUAAAAUUGAGAGGCUCAACCUCUUCGAGCCGUUGAAACUGGUUUUCUUGAGUGAGCGAGAAGUAUGCGGAAUGCGUGGUGUAGCGGUGAAAUGCAUAGAUAUCACGCAGAACUCCGAUUGCGAAGGCAGCAUACCGGCGCUCAACUGACGCUCAUGCACGAAAGUGUGGGUAUCGAACAGGAUUAGAUACCCUGGUAGUCCACACAGUAAACGAUGAAUACUAAUUGUUCGGGGAGAAUGAUCCCUGAGUGAUACAGCGAAAGCGUUAAGUAUUCCACCUGGGGAGUACGCCGGCAACGGU
Molecule: ribosomal RNA, 823 nt
Filed under: uncultured bacterium
Lineage: Bacteria
Description: bacterial SSU rRNA
Rfam family: Bacterial small subunit ribosomal RNA
Source: RNAcentral